This is a non-coding RNA of Salmo salar (Atlantic salmon), 4775 nucleotides long. NCBI's taxonomy places the organism in Eukaryota, Metazoa, Chordata, Actinopteri, Salmoniformes, Salmonidae. The record is from RefSeq and is a predicted model, not a curated record.
CAACACUGCGCCCUCACCAGGCGGUCCUGGAUCCUGGGCUGGCUGGAGGGUCAUGGUGAUUGCAGCUACACACUGGCAGUUCUUCCUGAGAUUUUAACAUCAUUAGAGACACUUAAGCAACAACAACAGUUGAUUUUGCUGCAACUGCAAAGGCUGCAGUUGAGUGGUUCAACACCAUCAGAGGUUCCGGACGUGACCGACCUUGGGUUUCUGGUGUCCUCACUGGAAUACUGGAAGGGAGUCGAGGGAAGGAUUGCUGGGCAACCAGACCUCAAAUAGAACCUGAUCACAUCUGUUGGACUGGCUAGAGGAAUGACCACCAAGGAACGAGACUGUGUGGAGAAUACUAACAAAACUCCUGACAAAUGCCCUGGCCAUGAAGAUGAACUGGCGAGGGGCCAAUGGGAAGCAGGCAUUCGAACGGCUUGCCCUGAAAGGCAUAGUUCCAGGGCUAUCUGCUGAAAGUACCAAAGCUUCUGAUGGUGAAAUUGAGAAAUACAUCAAGAGGUGAAAGCAGCUGACCUCUGACCGAGACGUAGGAAAAAAGAAGAGAGCCCAACCGAAAACAGAAGAAGACCAGAGGAGAGAAGAUGACCAGAGUGGGGUAGAAGAGUGAUGCCAUCACACCCUACCCUACACUGACAAUAACAGGGAACGCUGUCACCAUACCAAAACCAAUUUCGCUAAGUGGGGAUGGCUCUUUGUGAUGUUCCUCUUCAGACUGUAGAGUAAAAAUCCUAUCAGUUCUUAGUUGGCCUCGGGAAAGUCAUGCUACUUUUAAUAUGUUAACCGGUGAGUGUUUAUUACCAGUGUAAUAUUGUACCUUCAUAUUUCGAUAGAGAUGUGAUGCAAUGCUCAUUUUGCUGUUCAUUGUUUAAGGUUGUUACUAUCAUGAAUGAAGGUAAGACCCAGGUGCAGACCGUGUCGAAGUAACAAUGUUUAUUAUAGGAGCAAGGGUACAGGACGGCAGGCAGGCUCAGGGUCAGGUCAGGUAGAGGUCGGUAAUCCAGAGGUGGGGCAAAGGUACAGGACGGCAGGCAGAGUGGUCAGGUGGGGCGGGUACAGGGUCAGGACAGGAUGAGAAAAGAGAGACUGGGGAAAAGCAGGAGCUGAAUACAAAAACACUGGUUAACGUCACAAACAAGAUGAACUGGCAACAGACAAACAGAGAACACAGGUAUAAAUACACAGGGGAAGAUGGGCGACACCUGGAGGAGAGUGGGGACAAUCACAAAAACAGGUGAAACAGAUCAAGGUGUGACAGUUACAGCUGUUUGUACUUUGAUAUAGUAUAUUGCAACUGAAUUGAAAACUAUCGGGGUGCAUGGGUAAUAUUAAUAUGAAUUAGCAUUGCUCUACUUCUGGGGGUAUUCUGGCAAGACACCGGCUAGCUAGCUAAAUGAAGAGAUUUACGUAUUUCAUUAUGUAGCCCGGAGAGAAUUUGGAAUGUUCUAGCAACGGCCCUAGCAAAGGACUCUCGAAUCCCAUUGUGAUGCAGGGGGACAUUAUUUGGCAAGACAUGGUCCCUUAGAGUUUUUUAUUCAUCUUUAUUUUACAAGCUAUAUUGACAGAUAACAAGUGCACUACUUUAUCUUGUACACUAAGGACAUGGGGAAGAGUUUCAAGGGUGAAGAGAAGAAUGUGCCUAUUUGAACGGCAGAAAAAAAAUUGUAGCUCGCCAUGUGUCAUUUUUUAAAAGUAGCUCUCAUGCUAGAAAAGGUUGGAGACCCUUGCAUUAUAAUCACUACAGACAAAUAAACUUGAAGUGUCAUUAAUAGGCAUGAUGAUGGCUUUGAACUUGAUUCAGAGAAAGGGAAGGCACCAAAAACACGCCACUCCACCGCAUGCAUUAAUCAAACCAUAUUCAUCAAACCAGGCCUGGUCAGGGAGAAUAAGGGGAAUGGUGCUGAACUCGUUCCCUCUAAUUAGAUUUGCAAUUAUUGUAAGCUGGAGUAGUUAUUUAGCGUCAGUCUGGACCGUGUGUGCUCUGGAACAUAAUCGUCCUCAAAUUACAAGAUAAUGGAGCCAGAGAGAGGCCACUGCUCCUUAUGGAACCUGCAGAUAGAAUCCUCCAAAGGGACCUUUUAGGGAGAGAGGGCUAGGGAGAGAGCGAGGGAGGAAGAUCGAUAGAAAUGUCAUUCUGAAAUCCACUAAAUGUGUUUUCACAGUAGUUAUUGUACCUUAGUCCUCAUAGUUUUGUUAAUUUAAAUAUCCCAACACUUAUUAUGGAGAGAUACACAAUGUAUUGCAUUGAUUUAAAAACAAUAUCAUAUGAGUGAAUGCUGUAUGAUAUGUUAAAUUAUAUUUUAUUUUUUAAUAGUACAUUUGAAUUUUUUUUAGAGGAUGUAAAUUGACAUGUUUCCAAGGCAACUAGUUCAAAGCCAAGGUGAGUGCCUUAUCUGUACUAAUGAGCAGGACACUCAAAACAUCUAAGGAAAGAAACAGCCAAGGGCAAGAUGUGAAUACAACUAUACAAUUUUGCCAAACUACUGCUAUACUGUUAAAGAGUAGAGAAAAGCUUCAACGCAGUUGCUUAAUGUAUUCCCCCUCUUGUUUACUUCCUAAUAUUAGGCAGGAGACCUGUGAUCCCUCAUAUAGCAGGCAGACAGACAGACCGAUGGGGUGGGGGUGACAAACGGAUACAUAGUGACACACGCACACAUUCCAGACUUACUGGUAGCUGGCUUGAUCACAGCGUGCUGCUUACCCACUGGGCACAAACGUCAGUUCAACGUCUAGUUUUGAUUUACAUUUGGUUGACUUGUCAACUAACGUGAUUUCAACAUGAAAUUCACAAAACAUUUCACCAUGUUAUUGGAUUUAAGUUCAUAGUUGGGUGAAAAGACCUUACGUUGAUUACUUUUUUUAUUUUGCAUUAUUCAAUCAUUUUUCGAGGUUGUUUCAAUGUCAUCACAUUGAAUUCUUGGGUUGAAAUGACAUGGAAACAACAUUGAUUCAACCAGUUUUUGCCCAGUUGGUAGGCACAUGUUGCUCCUUACUGCUUGAGGAUGUGCAAAAUAUGAAGCAUCAGGUCUGAAAUCAAAUCACACAAUUAGGCUUUUACUGUUGUACCAGAGGUCAUGAAGGUCACAUGGUUGUCUGAGAAACAACGAUUUUUGGGCAGGAAGCUAAGAAGUCAGGGAGUUUUUAGUUUUUUUUUGGCACGUUGCUGUAUGUGGAGAGGCUGACAAACAUUAAAUGUAAGUAGUAAGGUGACCAUGAGCUGUCUAAGAAAAGUACAAAUGCCCUUAUAUACACGUACGUGGAGGCAAGUGUUCCCAUAGAAAAUCACAAUGCAUGCAGGUUACCUUAAUUUAACCUGCCAGAGGCCUUUUAGUUUGUUCUGUUUUUCACUCCUAAAACAGGACCUUAUUUUAUGACAAUCAUCUGUUGGUUGUUUGGCCUCCAUCAGUGUUGUCAGCCCAUGACCAAUGACAAAGCAUUGAUCACGUGACACCAUUCAUUCUAAUGUGAAGACUCAAUAACGAAUUGAAGCCAAAUUAAGUUGGUCAAGAUGGCAUCUCAUGGAGACAUAAUAUGUGCAGUUUGAGCUACUCCAUGAAGUGAUGUUGCAGGCUAGAUCAGUGCUGCCACCUCUCAUUGUGUAGUUGAAGGCUGACCGGGGUACUGCUGGCUGGCUGCCGUCAGCAACUAAAUUAUUAAACUUCUUCUGUGUGCGAUUUAAAACUAUUCAGUUCAAGAACAUACAUCUGGUGUAUUAGCAGCAAUUAUUUGUACCAUGAUUGUUUAAAAAAAAAAAAUGUAUUACCACAAAGAUUGAUUACGAAGAUCGACGUCUUUCCAUUCACUAUAAUGGGGGAUCCUGUUUUCUGCUAACAAUGCCUGCAAUUUCCGUGGUUUUAAUGAGAUGGGGCAGUUGUUCUCACCUGUCCAUGACAUACCAAGAUGAAAGUAUAUUGAGUUUAAAGUAUAACAUUUCUCUAGUAGUCGGCUAUAUUUGAUUGGUUUCUCGAAGUAAUAGACUGAAUUGUACACCAAUAUUACAUCAUAGAAACUUAACUAAAGCAAUAAUUUGAAUACAAUACAAUGUUACAAAAUAAAAUAUAUCCAACAAGAUAACAAUAGGCUAGAGAAAUCAUACCCUCAACUAACACAGUUCCUCUUGAUCAGUUACUUUCAGUUUGUGAUUGUUUUGUCUCAACCAGUGUUGUUUCAGUCUAUAAGGGUGUCGUGGUACACUGCUAUGGGACUAAUUAAAACAUUUAACUGCUCAAAGUGUAGUCAUGACGUGGCAUGCCCUUUGGCUCUAACCUACCUGCAGGGAAAUACCAACACUGUGCCCUCAGUAGGCGGUCCUGGAUCCUGGGCUUUCAGCAGGCUGGAGGGUUGUAGGUUAUGUAACUUGCAUGCCAAUUGAUGGAAAUGUAUUUUUAUUAGUAUUCAUCUGUGAGAUGGGAUGACCAUGCCUGUUGCAGGUAGUGAGGCCAAAUGCAUAAGUCUAUUAAUGAAUGUGGUGUAGCCUAUGCCAAAGGAAGCAAAUGCUAUUAAGAAAAACGCUAUGUCUGGCGCAAACCUAACACCUCUCAUCACCCAGAGAACACCAUCCCCACAGUGAAGCAUGGUGGGGGCAGCAUCAUGCUGUGGGGAAGUUUUUCAUCGGCAGGGACUGGGAAACUGGACAGAAAUGAAGGAAUGAUGGAAGGUGCUAAAUGGAGGGAAAUUCUUGAGGGAAACCUGUUUCAGUCUUCCAGAGAUUUGAGACUGGGCCGGAGGUUGACAACUCCCUUGUGUCCUCCUCCCAGAGUGCUAAGAAC